CCUACGGGUGGCAGCAGUGAGGAAUAUUGGUCAAUGGACGAGAGUCUGAACCAGCCAAGUAGCGUGAAGGAUGACUGCCCUAUGGGUUGUAAACUUCUUUUAUAUGGGAAUAAAAUGUUCCACGUGUGGGAUUUUGUAUGUACCAUAUGAAUAAGGAUCGGCUAACUCCGUGCCAGCAGCCGCGGUAAUACGGAGGAUCCGAGCGUUAUCCGGAUUUAUUGGGUUUAAAGGGAGCGUAGGUGGAUUGUUAAGUCAGUUGUGAAAGUUUGCGGCUCAACCGUAAAAUUGCAGUUGAAACUGGGGGCCUUGAGUGGGCGAGAAGAAGGCGGAAUGCGUGGUGUAGCGGUGAAAUGCAUAGAUAUCACGCAGAACCCCGAUUGCGAAGGCAGCCUUCCGGCGCCCUACUGACGCUGAGGCACGAAAGUGCGGGGAUCGAACAGGAUUAGAUACCCGUGUAGUC
This 460-nucleotide ribosomal RNA is filed under the name uncultured bacterium. RNAcentral's name for it is "partial 16S ribosomal RNA". It matches the Rfam family "Bacterial small subunit ribosomal RNA", at positions 338 to 795 of the family's 1533-position model. The record is from RNAcentral.